CCUACGGGAGGCAGCAGUGGGGGAUAUUGCACAAUGGGGGAAACCCUGAUGCAGCGACGCCGCGUGAGUGAAGAAGUAUUUCGGAAUGUAAAGCUCUAUUAUCAGGGAAGAAAAUGACAGUACUUGACCAAGAAGCCCCCGCUAACUACUUGCCAGCAGCCGCGGUAAUACGUAGGGGGCAAGCGUUAUCCGGAUUUACUGGGUGUAAAGGGAGCGUAGACGGUUAUUUAAGUCUGGAGUGAAAGCCCGGGGCCCAACCCCGGGACUACUUUGAAAACUGUGUAACUGGAGUACAGGAGGGGCAGGCGGAAUUCCUGGUGUAGCGGUGGAAUGCGUAGAUAUCAGGAGGAACACCAGCGGCGAAGGCGGCCUGCUGGACUGAAACUGACGUUGAGGCACGAAAGCGUGGGGAGCAAACAGGAUUAGAUACCCUGGUAGUC
RNAcentral lists this ribosomal RNA (440 nucleotides) under uncultured bacterium. RNAcentral's name for it is "partial 16S ribosomal RNA". It matches the Rfam family "Bacterial small subunit ribosomal RNA", at positions 338 to 795 of the family's 1533-position model. The record is from RNAcentral.